Molecule: ribosomal RNA, 271 nt
Filed under: Gammarus balcanicus
Lineage: Eukaryota; Metazoa; Arthropoda; Malacostraca; Amphipoda; Gammaridae
Description: partial 16S ribosomal RNA
Source: RNAcentral
CUAAGGUAGCAAAGUCAUUUGUUAUUUAAUUGAUAACUGGAAUGAAAGGCUAGACUAGCUUACUUUGUUUGUGGGAUUAUGUAGAAGCUUAAAGUUAAGGUAAGAAUUCUUUAAUUUUCUAGGGGACGAUAAGACCCUAGAAGCUUGACGAGAAGAUUAGUUUGUUUUAAAUGUUUAUUUGUUUUACUGGGGCGGUAAAAGUAAUUAAGCUAUUUAUUACUCAAAAGAUCCUAAAAAUAUAGACAAAAUGGAGAAGUUACUCUAGGGAUAA